AUUUUGACCCGACUUCCAUUUGUACGAUAUCUGUGUUUCUUUUCCAAAACCCUAGAGAGCCUCCAUCUCCAUUCCAAGCAACUGAUCUUCUCUUCAAAAUGUUUUCCUUUUAUGAAUGGUCCGCAACUUUGUGACCUAAAUUCUUCAGCCGCUUCAUUCUUCUCAUUCACACUUUCUCUUUUCGACAGUCCUUUCCUUCAUCCAGUUCUUCCUUCAUCGAUUCAUCAUUAUUAAUCAUAGUCAUCUACUAUCCAUACGAUUCAAGCAUCAGAAUGCCCUAGCGGCCACCUCCGGUGAUGACGGCGAGGGUUUCGACGAGUUGAUUUCAGAAAUGGAAAAUAGGUGAAAUUUAUUGAAGGGGAGAUUAUAUUAGCAGCUGAAGAACUGGAUGACUUAACUAAUAGCAGGUUUGACUGUUCAGGUUGACUUCGGAAAUAGAGACGAUAAUAAUAAAAUCUAGGGCAUCCAUAGUUGUAUUGUCGAAGAACUAUGCAAAAUCCAGAUGGUGCCUUAACGAGCUUUGGUUGAUCCUGGAGCAAAGGAGGGAGUGCAAUCAUUUCCAUUCACAUGUUUUUAUCACGUCAACCCAUCAGACGUUAGGAACCAAACAGGAAUAUUUUCUAUAGAAGGGUCAAAAGCGACAGUGGAUAGUGUGAAGCAGUCGAAGGCAGCAUUAACAGAGGUGGCCGAUUUGAGUGGCAUGGUUCUUUCUGGGGAGAAAGUGAAAAACUAACCGUUAACAACAUGAAUAAACCCAAGGUAUUCGGAAACAGUUCAGACGGGUGCUGGUAAAGAUGUAUCUAUUUGUCAUUGGCGGCGUCUUGAAGUUUUAUAAGAUUUUAACCUUAAUAAAUUAAGAAAACAGAGGUCACGUGUCUCAUAUGCAUCAAUAUCUGCAAUUGAAACUAUAGGUACGAGUUACUCUCGACACAUGGAAGAUGAGUAUCAGAAGUUUAUCCGGAGAAUGAACCCGCCUCGAGUCUUAAUCGACUAGGAAUCGUGUAAAAAUGGUACAAUCCUUCAGGAUUAGGAUUAAUUGGAAGCAAGAAGGUGUUGAAAAAACCUUUCUUGAAGCAUGUGUUCAUCAAAUAACCGUUAAUGGAUGUGAAGGAAGUAGUCUUAAACAAGCGUCAUGGAAAACUGUAGCUGAAAAUUUGAAAACACAACAUAAUUUCAUAGUGGAACAACGUCAAAUGAAGAAUCACUAUGAUUUUCUAAAAGGAAAAUUUGCAGCUUGGUUAAAGCUUAAAAACAAAACCGGGAAUGUCUAUGAUCCAGUUACAAACAGCUUUAACUUGUCAGAAGAAGAGUGGCAAAUUGAGAUGAAGUCUAACAAGUAUGUAGAAGCUUUGAGAAGUGCGCCACUUGCUUUCCCCGAGCUUUGUUGUCAAUUGUUUGAGGGGUCUACUUCAAAUGGGUUUGAUAGUUGGGGGCCAAGUUCUACGCUUCCUCAUCCUUCUGAGGAAGUGAAUGAGCACAAUUUGGAUGGUAUGGAUGUCGAAUGCACUCAAGUGGAUUCCCCAGGUAAAGGUGUUAGUGAGGAGUCAAGUAUUCGGUCCCAAAAAAAAAAGAAAAAGGAGAGAAACGAAAACAUAAGGCAACAUUAGAGUCACAGCUUAUAGAAGUUGGUGAAGAUAUUAGCAAGUUGGCAAAGAUGAUGAUUGAGAAACACACACUUUCUGAUGAUAUGGAUGCAUGUUUGGAGAAGUUGGAGACAUUGGGUUGGGAUGAGUCGGAUGCGAAAUACGAAACAACGCUUUUGCUUUUUGGUGAGAGUGCCGAUCUUAGGAAACUGUGGGUACGUCUUAAGCCGCAUAAUUGUGAGAAAUGGGUUAAGAAUGCGGGAGCGAAGUAUGGAUUGUUUAACUAAUAUUGUGCUUUGAUUGUUUUUUUUUUUUUGGGUUAGAUGUUAUGUUUUGGAUGUUAUGUUUUGGAUGUUAGGAUGUUAUGUUUUGGAUGUUAUG
This is a long non-coding RNA of Helianthus annuus (common sunflower), 1964 nucleotides long. RefSeq lists it as uncharacterized. The record is from RefSeq and is a predicted model, not a curated record. NCBI's taxonomy places the organism in Eukaryota, Viridiplantae, Streptophyta, Magnoliopsida, Asterales, Asteraceae. The transcript has 9 exons.